GAUGAACGCUAGCGAUAGGCUUAACACAUGCCAGUCGAGGGGCAGCAUGGUCUUAGCUUGCUAAGACUGAUGGCGGCCGGCGCACGGGUGCGUAACGCGUAUGCAACUUGCCUCACAGAGGGGGAUAACCCGUCGAAAGACGGACUAAUACCGCGUACACUCCAUCUUGGGCAUCCAAGGUAGAGGAAAUGAAAUUCGCUGUGAGAUAGGCAUGCGUCCCAUUAGCUAGUUGGUGAGGUAACGGCUCACCAAGGCGACGAUGGGUAGGGGAACUGAGAGGUUGAACCCCCACACUGGUACUGAGACACGGACCAGACUCCUACGGGAGGCAGCAGUGAGGAAUAUUGGUCAAUGGGCGAGAGCCUGAACCAGCCAAGUCGCGUGAAGGAUGACUGUCUUAUGGAUUGUAAACUUCUUUUAUACGGGAAUAACAAGAGUCACGUGUGACUCCCUGCAUGUACCGUAUGAAUAAGCAUCGGCUAACUCCGUG
Molecule: ribosomal RNA, 490 nt
Filed under: uncultured bacterium
Lineage: Bacteria
Description: partial 16S ribosomal RNA
Rfam family: Bacterial small subunit ribosomal RNA
Source: RNAcentral